Molecule: ribosomal RNA, 254 nt
Filed under: uncultured bacterium
Lineage: Bacteria
Description: partial 16S ribosomal RNA
Rfam family: Bacterial small subunit ribosomal RNA
Source: RNAcentral
UACGUAGGGUGCAAGCGUUGUCCGGAAUUAUUGGGCGUAAAGAGCUCGUAGGCGGUCUGUCGCGUCGGCUGUGAAAACCCGGGGCUCAACCCCGGGCCUGCAGUCGAUACGGGCAGACUAGAGUGCGGUAGGGGAGACUGGAAUUCCUGGUGUAGCGGUGGAAUGCGCAGAUAUCAGGAGGAACACCGGUGGCGAAGGCGGGUCUCUGGGCAGUAACUGACGCUGAGGAGCGAAAGCGUGGGGGAGCGAACAGG